GAUGAACGCUGGCGGCGUGCCUAAUACAUGCAAGUCGAGCGAACGGACGAGAAGCUUGCUUCUCUGAUGUUAGCGGCGGACGGGUGAGUAACACGUGGAUAACCUACCUAUAAGACUGGGAUAACUUCGGGAAACCGGAGCUAAUACCGGAUAAUAUUUUGAACCGCAUGGUUCAAAAGUGAAAGACGGUCUUGCUGUCACUUAUAGAUGGAUCCGCGCUGCAUUAGCUAGUUGGUAAGGUAACGGCUUACCAAGGCAACGAUGCAUAGCCGACCUGAGAGGGUGAUCGGCCACAUGGGAAUUAGGCACCGGUCCAGACCCCAAGGGGGGGCAGGAGUAGGGAAUCUUCCGCAAUGGGGAAAAGCCUGGAGGGGCAACGCCGGGGGGGUGAUGAAGGGUUUCGGAUUGAAAAACCUUUUUAUUAGGGAAAAACAGAUUUGUAAGUAACUUUGCACACUUGGGCGGUCCCAAAGCAGAAAGCCCCGGCCAAUUACGU
This 496-nucleotide ribosomal RNA is filed under the name uncultured bacterium. RNAcentral describes it as "partial 16S ribosomal RNA". It matches the Rfam family "Bacterial small subunit ribosomal RNA", at positions 28 to 506 of the family's 1533-position model. The record is from RNAcentral.